CAUCCUAACCAAUAUUGUUACGAAUUUUUUAGAUUCUGAAUGGAGCGUUGAACGUUUUGGUUUUACAAUGAAGUUAAUUUUAUUUUUCCAGUGGGCAAUUUUUCUACUAGCAAUUUUGCUCGGUGAUACAAUGGUAUUUACACUUUUCUAAAAGGAAAUCCGACUGUGCUGGUACUUUAGGGAGGUCUGUUUUUGAUUGUCCGCGAAAAAACACGGAGAAACCGGGCACAUAGGUACGAUGUUAAACAAAUGUCAUUAAAAAAAA
Molecule: non-coding RNA, 265 nt
Organism: Cinara cedri
Lineage: Eukaryota; Metazoa; Arthropoda; Insecta; Hemiptera; Aphididae
Source: the annotation of a GenBank genome assembly